RNAcentral lists this ribosomal RNA (843 nucleotides) under uncultured bacterium. RNAcentral describes it as "bacterial SSU rRNA". It matches the Rfam family "Bacterial small subunit ribosomal RNA", at positions 9 to 902 of the family's 1533-position model. The record is from RNAcentral.
GAGUUUGAUCCUGGCUCAGAACGUACGCUGGCGGCACGCCUAACACAUGCAAGUCGAACGAAGUAGCAAUACUUAGUGGCAGACGGGUGAGUAACAUGUAGGUAUCUACCCUUUGGCCUGGAAUAACACGAGGAAACUUGUGCUAAUACCGGAUAAGUCUUUACGGAGAAAGCUUUAUGCACCAUUGGAUGAGCCUGCACUUGAUUAGUUUGCUGGUGGGGUAAUGGCCUACCAAGACUGUGAUCAAUAGCUGAUUUGAGAGGAUGAUCAGCCACAUUGGGACUGAGACACGGCCCAAACUCCUACGGGAGGCAGCAGUGGGGAACCUUGCACAAUGGAGGAAACUCUGAUGCAGCAAUGCCGUGUGAGUGAAGAAGGCCCUUGGGUUGUAAAGCUCUUUCGUCGGGGAAGAAAAUGACUGUACCCGAAUAAGAAGGUCCGGCUAACUUCGUGCCAGCAGCCGCGGUAAUACGAAGGGACCUAGCGUAGUUCGGAAUUACUGGGCUUAAAGAGUUCGUAGGUGGUUGAAAAAGUUAGUGGUGAAAUCCCAGAGCUUAACUCUGGAACUGCCAUUAAAACUUUUCAGCUAGAGUAUGAUAGAGGAAAGCAGAAUUUCUAGUGUAGAGGUGAAAUUCGUAGAUAUUAGAAAGAAUACCAAUUGCGAAGGCAGCUUUCUGGAUCAUUACUGACACUGAGGAACGAAAGCAUGGGUAGCGAAGAGGAUUAGAUACCCUCGUAGUCCAUGCCGUAAACGAUGUGUGUUAGACGUUGGAAAUUUAUUUUCAGUGUCGCAGCGAAAGCGAUAAACACACCGCCUGGGAGUACGACCGCAAGGUUAAACUC